RNAcentral lists this ribosomal RNA (510 nucleotides) under uncultured Acaulospora. Its description in RNAcentral is "SSU rRNA". It matches the Rfam family "Eukaryotic small subunit ribosomal RNA", at positions 571 to 1089 of the family's 1831-position model. Lineage: Eukaryota; Fungi; Glomeromycota; Glomeromycetes; Diversisporales; Acaulosporaceae. The record is from RNAcentral.
AGCAGCCGCGGUAAUUCCAGCUCCAAUAGCGUAUAUUAAAGUUGUUGCAGUUAAAAAGCUCGUAGUUGAAUUUCGGGAUUUGUCGGUUGGUCGGGCUUCACUGUCCGCACUGGCCUGACGGAUUCCUACCUUCUGAAUAACCAGCAUGCUAUUAAGUUAGUGCGUUGGGGAAGCAGAGCUAUUACCUUGAAAAAAUUAGAGUGCUUAAAGCAGGCUUGYGCUUGAAUAGAUUAGCAUGGAAUAAUAAAAUAGGACGGCWUGGUUCUAUUUUGUUGGUUUCUAGGAUCACCGUAAUGAUUAAUAGGGAUAGUUGGGGGCAUUAGUAUUCAAUUGUCAGAGGUGAAAUUCUUGGAUUUAUUGAAGACUAACUUCUGCGAAAGCAUUUGCCAAGGAUGUUUUCAUUAAUCAAGAACGAAAGUUAGGGGAUCGAAGACGAUCAGAUACCGUCGUAGUCUUAACCAUAAACUAUGCCGACUAGGGAUCGGACGAUGUUAAUUUUUUAAUGACUCG